UGAAAUGCGUAGAGAUGUGGAGGAACACCGAUGGCGAAGGCAGCCUUCUGGGCCAAUACUGACGCUCAUGCACGAAAGCGUGGGGAGCAAACAGGAUUAGAUACCCUGGUAGUCCACACCCUAAACGAUGAUGACUAGUUGUUGGAGGAGAUAAAUCCUUUAGUAAACGCAGNCUAANCGCGGAGAAGUUCAUCCG
RNAcentral lists this ribosomal RNA (196 nucleotides) under uncultured bacterium. RNAcentral describes it as "partial 16S ribosomal RNA". It matches the Rfam family "Bacterial small subunit ribosomal RNA", at positions 682 to 871 of the family's 1533-position model. The record is from RNAcentral.